GGGGAUAUAGCUCAGNAGUAGAACACUUGGCUAGCAUACAUGAGGCCUUGGGUUCAAACCCCAGUACCCCA
This 71-nucleotide transfer RNA is filed under the name Neotoma lepida (desert woodrat). It matches the Rfam family "tRNA". From Rfam's summary of the family: Transfer RNA (tRNA) molecules are approximately 80 nucleotides in length. The record is from Rfam by way of RNAcentral. Lineage: Eukaryota; Metazoa; Chordata; Mammalia; Rodentia; Cricetidae.